CUGCGAAAUACGUGGCAGCAGCGGGGGUAAAACGGGGGUGGGUAUGCGUAGCCGGAAUGACUUUGGGUAAAGGGUGCGUGGGUGGUUUCUUAGGUCAGAGGGGAAAGGCUACGGCUCAACCGUAGUAAGCCUUUGAAACUGGGGAACUUGAGUGCAGGAGAGGAGAGUGGAAUUCCUAGUGUAGCGGUGAAAUGCGUAGAUAUUAGGAGGAACACCAGUUGCGAAGGCGGCUCUCUGGACUGUAACUGACACUGAGGCACGAAAGCGUGGGGAGCAAACAGGAUUAGAUACCCCAGUAGUC
Molecule: ribosomal RNA, 301 nt
Filed under: uncultured Archaeoglobus sp.
Lineage: Archaea; Methanobacteriati; Methanobacteriota; Archaeoglobi; Archaeoglobales; Archaeoglobaceae
Description: bacterial SSU rRNA
Rfam family: Bacterial small subunit ribosomal RNA
Source: RNAcentral